GACAUUGUAUGUCGUUGGGCAAUCAACCACCAGGAAGUUAGUGGUAAUGGUAGCUGUGUAAGGGCCUGUACUAAUGGUGAAAGGUAAGUGUAUGCUCCCCAAAGGUUGCACGAUAUCACCGGAGAAGCUUAUCAGAAGGGAAAUCAAGCGAUCGAGCAAGUGUUCAGCUACAUUAAGUGCCCUGAAAGCUUCAGCAAACAUGAUAUUGACCGAAGCCCCCGUGUUUACCAGG
RNAcentral lists this long non-coding RNA (232 nucleotides) under Malus domestica (apple). RNAcentral's name for it is "long non-coding RNA (MDOM_LNC003799)". Lineage: Eukaryota; Viridiplantae; Streptophyta; Magnoliopsida; Rosales; Rosaceae. The record is from RNAcentral.